RNAcentral lists this ribosomal RNA (468 nucleotides) under uncultured bacterium. RNAcentral describes it as "partial 16S ribosomal RNA". It matches the Rfam family "Bacterial small subunit ribosomal RNA", at positions 28 to 507 of the family's 1533-position model. The record is from RNAcentral.
GACGAACGCUGGCGGCGUGCUUAACACAUGCAAGUCGAACGGAAAGGCCCUGCUUUUGUGGGGUGCUCGAGUGGCGAACGGGUGAGUAACACGUGAGUAACCUGCCCUUGACUUUGGGAUAACUUCAGGAAACUGGGGCUAAUACCGGAUAGGAGCUCCUGCUGCAUGGUGGGGGUUGGAAAGUUUCGGCGGUUGGGGAUGGACUCGCGGCUUAUCAGCUUGUUGGUGGGGUAGUGGCUUACCAAGGCUUUGACGGGUAGCCGGCCUGAGAGGGUGACCGGCCACAUUGGGACUGAGAUUCGGGCCAGACUCCUACGGGAGGGAGCAGGGGGGAAUAUUGCAACAUGGGCGGAAGCCUGAUGCAGCAACGGCGCGUGCGGGAUGACGGCCUUCGGGUUGUAAACCGCUUUCGCCUGUGACGAAGCGGGAGGGACGGUAAUGGGUAAAGAAGCACCGGCUAACUACGUG